This 391-nucleotide ribosomal RNA is filed under the name bacterium enrichment culture. RNAcentral's name for it is "bacterial SSU rRNA". It matches the Rfam family "Bacterial small subunit ribosomal RNA", at positions 521 to 916 of the family's 1533-position model. The record is from RNAcentral.
UAAUACGGAGGAUCCAAGCGUUAUCCGGAAUCAUUGGGUUUAAAGGGUCCGUAGGCGGUUUAGUAAGUCAGUGGUGAAAGCCCAUCGCUCAACGGUGGAACGGCCAUUGAUACUGUUAGACUUGAAUUAUUAGGAAGUAACUAGAAUAUGUAGUGUAGCGGUGAAAUGCUUAGAGAUUACAUGGAAUACCAAUUGCGAAGGCAGGUUACUACUAAUUGAUUGACGCUGAUGGACGAAAGCGUGGGGAGCGAACAGGAUUAGAUACCCUGGUAGUCCACGCCGUAAACGAUGGAUACUAGCUGUUGGGGGCAACUUCAGUGGCUAAGCGAAAGUGAUAAGUAUCCCACCUGGGGAGUACGGGCGCAAGCCUGAAACUUAAAGGAAUUGACGG